UUUCCGUAGGUGAACCUGCGGAAGGAUCAUUAUCUAAUUUCACGGUGUUGGUUGCCGCCGCCGGGGGUAUCCCCCUGGGAGGGAGUGGUAUUACUCGAGCGCACCACAUGCCUUAAUCCUUUUUUUACGAGCUCCUUUCGUUCUCCUUCGGUGGGGCAACUUGCCGUUGUAACUUAUCAAUGCCUUUAGUUUGGAUCGUACAUUACCUGUUCUGGUACAAGCCAUUGUUACAACUUUCAACAAUGGAUCUCUUGGCUCUG
RNAcentral lists this unclassified non-coding RNA (260 nucleotides) under plant metagenome. RNAcentral describes it as "partial contains small subunit ribosomal RNA, internal transcribed spacer 1, and 5.8S ribosomal RNA". The record is from RNAcentral.